CUAGAAGGCAAAGAAAUCAUUUGGGAACAUUUUGUAUCUGUAUCUACAAGAGAAUGUAAAUAGAGUUUUACUAAUUACAAAGUUAAAUGCAGAUGCCAUUAACCUCAACAACUUUUCAAAAAUGAGAGUUAACCUAACAUAGCUGUACACACAUUAAGAAAUGCUGUUGCCAAAGAAAUGGAAGAAAAUGAAAAUGAGGUUCCUAAAGCC
Molecule: long non-coding RNA, 210 nt
Filed under: Mytilus galloprovincialis (Mediterranean mussel)
Lineage: Eukaryota; Metazoa; Mollusca; Bivalvia; Mytilida; Mytilidae
Source: RNAcentral